AAUUUCCAUUGAUGCCCUCAUGGGUUCUUCCGAGCCUUUCAACAGUCCCCUAAGUUCCCGGAGAAAUGGCAUCGCUCCGCAGUAACAAUAUGCCUGCCUUCAAUGUACUUCUAUAGACUGUCUCCAGUCAUGACAGGCUACCAAGAACCUCUGACUUCAAUACUUCAACACUCCUGUUUGAUGGCCGUAUCUCAAGAAUUUGCUGCUAAGGUCGCUCUAGUCUUCAAUGGAUACAAGAAAGAAAUGUUAGAUAUCAAAGACGCAAGAAGAUGGAUCAUUAGUAGUGAUGACAAACAUCUUAAGCUGAGGAAUAUGAAAGUAAAUCCCUAAUUACGGCGCGCCGAGAACGAGUAAAAAUGUAGUACCAAACUCGUCAAGAGAUGGCGCCACCUCCGAGAUAGAACGCGCCAACGAUGUGUCGACGUAGAAUCUUGAUAUCCGAGAUGCAAAUUACUGAUCGUUUUUAAAUGUUAGGAGAAGAUUAAUGCUUGGUUGGCUGCAUAAGUGCAUACCCCUGCUGAGGUCUCAGCAGCUACGCACAAGUUAUCAGUAAUUGUACAUAGUUAGUGUUUUAAUAAAUAAGCCGACUGAUAUAAUUACGUUCUUUUCGUCUGCGGAUAGAUAACCCUUACUACAGUGGAAUAGUAAUAGUUUUUCUUUGUGUACAUAGUAACUAUUGAAUAAUAAACUUAAUGUUUCAUGACUUUUAUAUAAGACCUUUC
Cydia splendana is the source of this 722-nucleotide long non-coding RNA. RefSeq lists it as uncharacterized. Lineage: Eukaryota; Metazoa; Arthropoda; Insecta; Lepidoptera; Tortricidae. The transcript has 4 exons. The record is from RefSeq and is a predicted model, not a curated record.